GGCUUCUGUGGUGUAGUGGUAGCACACGCGACCGGUAUGGAUAAGACGCGGGUUCAAUUCCGGCUGGGGUCG
Molecule: non-coding RNA, 72 nt
Organism: Parelaphostrongylus tenuis
Lineage: Eukaryota; Metazoa; Nematoda; Chromadorea; Rhabditida; Metastrongylidae
Source: the annotation of a GenBank genome assembly